Molecule: ribosomal RNA, 484 nt
Filed under: uncultured bacterium
Lineage: Bacteria
Description: partial 16S ribosomal RNA
Rfam family: Bacterial small subunit ribosomal RNA
Source: RNAcentral
AUUGAACGCUGGCGGAAUGCUUUACACAUGCAAGUCGAACGGCAGCACGGGGGCAGCCCUGGUGGCGAGUGGCGAACGGGUGAGUAAUACAUCGGAACGUGCCCGGUCGUGGGGGAUAACGUAGCGAAAGUUACGCUAAUACCGCAUACGAUCUGAGGAUGAAAGCGGGGGACCUUCGGGCCUCGCGCGAUCGGAGCGACCGAUGUCAGAUUAGGUAGGUGGUGGGGUAAAGGCCUACCAAGCCGACGAUCUGUAGCUGGUCUGAGAAGACGACAAGCCACACUGGGACUGAGACACGGCCCAGGCUCCUACGGGAGGCAGCAGUGGGGAAUUUUGGGCAAUGGGCGGAAGCCUGAUCCAGCCAUUCCGCGUGCAGGACGAAGGCCUUCGGGUUGUGAACUGCUUUUGUACGGAACGAAAAGGCUCUGGCUAAUACCUGGGGCUCAUGACGGUACCGGAAGAAUAAGCACCGGCUAACUACGUG